AACGAACGCUGGCGGCAUGCCUAACACAUGCAAGUCGAACGAUGCUUUCGGGCAUAGUGGCGCACGGGUGCGUAACGCGUGGGAAUCUGCCCUUGGGUUCGGAAUAACAGUGAGAAAUUGCUGCUAAUACCGGAUGAUGUCUUCGGACCAAAGAUUUAUCGCCCAGGGAUGAGCCCGCGUAGGAUUAGCUAGUUGGUGGGGUAAUGGCCUACCAAGGCGACGAUCCUUAGCUGGUCUGAGAGGAUGAUCAGCCACACUGGGACUGAGACACGGCCCAGACUCCUACGGGAGGCAGCAGUGGGGAAUAUUGGACAAUGGGCGCAAGGCUGAUCCAGCAAUGCCGCGUGAGUGAUGAAGGCCUUAGGGUUGUAAAGCUCUUUUAGCCGGGAUGAUAAUGACAGUACCGGGAGAAUAAGCUCCGGCUAACUCCGUG
RNAcentral lists this ribosomal RNA (433 nucleotides) under uncultured bacterium. Its description in RNAcentral is "partial 16S ribosomal RNA". It matches the Rfam family "Bacterial small subunit ribosomal RNA", at positions 29 to 507 of the family's 1533-position model. The record is from RNAcentral.